Bombus huntii is the source of this 603-nucleotide long non-coding RNA. RefSeq lists it as uncharacterized. The transcript is spliced from 2 exons. The record is from RefSeq and is a predicted model, not a curated record. Lineage: Eukaryota; Metazoa; Arthropoda; Insecta; Hymenoptera; Apidae.
CUUCAAUCCGAGGAACCUGCAAGGAUGGAGGAGAAACAACGAUAACGACGAGCCGAAUGUUUUCAUGAUGGCGAUCGUUUGGACGUACGGCCUCUGGGCGGACGUACAACCAACGACAGGCUGCGCACACUUGCCCACGAUAAGAUUCACUGUCAUUUGCAAUAGAAAUCAAUAUAGUAAAUAGCAGUCGAGAAAUAUUUAUAGGAAGUAACUGUCAACUGUCGGUCGAGCAAGGCACAACCCUAUGGUGGAAAUGAAACUGCAGCUUGGGUCGUAUUUAUGCUCACUGUUCGAUUCCCUGAGGAGUAAGCGUAAUAAAAUAUAGCUUGUAUUCAUUUGGAGGAAAUGUACUUUUCAACGGUAAAAGAAUUACCCAAAUCGGUUGAAUGGUUUCUGAGAUUAUCUCGGAACACAUACAUACCUACGUACUUUUCUCUUUGUAAUAUUAACAUAGAAGAUGGAUAAAGCGUAAUUUACUCAGGUCUCAUUUAUUACGGUUUUGUAGCGGGUUUAUUCAGUAUAGAUAUAACGGUUCUCGUACAACAUAAAUUGUACAGCAUAGAUUAUCAUUUACUUCUGUAAAUAAAUAAUUUACCUCCAAAA